This 254-nucleotide ribosomal RNA is filed under the name uncultured bacterium. Its description in RNAcentral is "partial 16S ribosomal RNA". It matches the Rfam family "Bacterial small subunit ribosomal RNA", at positions 524 to 776 of the family's 1533-position model. The record is from RNAcentral.
CACGUAGGGGGCGAGCGUUGUCCGGAAUCAUUGGGCGUAAAGAGCUCGUAGGCGGCUCAGUAAGUCGGGUGUGAAACCCUCAGGCUCAACCUGGGGACGCCACUCGAUACUGCUGUGGCUAGAGUCCAGUAGGGGAGUGUGGAAUUCCCGGUGUAGCGGUGAAAUGCGCAGAUAUCGGGAGGAACACCGGUGGCGAAGGCGGUUCUCUGGGCCUGUACUGACGCUGAGGAGCGAAAGCGUGGGGAGCGAACAGG